AUCUAAGUGAACAACGUUUUACAAGAAAAGUGUUUUACAAAAAGAUGCAUCUAUCUCAAUACUAACAUUGAAGCUUAAAAUAUGUUAUAUUCAAAUAAUGUUAAUUUAAGCAAGUGUCUUACAAAUGUAUUGUCUAACAAAAGCCCGCUAAUGUUGCAUUUCUCAAAUAGCUUUUUAAAAAGCAUCUAAUGUUUAUACCAUCUGAUAAUCGUAUGUUGAAUGUUUUACUAAACAACGCAUUUGUAAUCUUCUCGAACUCUUAACUAAUGAAACCGUAAUCCAAACCUCCAUACCACCAUCAUCAUCUUCUUCAAUCACCAGAUCAAGAUGAAUAUGAUCAUCUAAGACCCCUUCCCAGUCUCGUAUUCAAAACUUAUCUGCCUUACGCAAGUAGUUCUUUCACCUAACCUACAUCUUUCACCGUCAGACCUUGCCUUACCUGAUUUCCACUAUAUUUCUUCCAUUCCCUCUCGUGAUCCUUCUUUUCCUUCUCUCUUCUUCUUUUCCACCAUAUUUUUCCCACAUCAUUGCAACGUUCUAAAAUGAUCUGCGAGCAAUGAUGUUCAGGAGCAGUUCUCUUACGUCAGGCAGUGAUGUCCUCCCUCUCCUUCCC
RNAcentral lists this long non-coding RNA (613 nucleotides) under Vigna radiata. Its description in RNAcentral is "long non-coding RNA (VRAD_LNC006001)". Lineage: Eukaryota; Viridiplantae; Streptophyta; Magnoliopsida; Fabales; Fabaceae. The record is from RNAcentral.